This 460-nucleotide ribosomal RNA is filed under the name uncultured bacterium. RNAcentral describes it as "partial 16S ribosomal RNA". It matches the Rfam family "Bacterial small subunit ribosomal RNA", at positions 338 to 795 of the family's 1533-position model. The record is from RNAcentral.
CCUACGGGUGACUGCAGUGAGGAAUAUUGGUCAAUGGACGCGAGUCUGAACCAGCCAAGUAGCGUGAAGGAUGACUGCCCUAUGGGUUGUAAACUUCUUUUAUAUGGGAAUAAAACGUUCCACGUGUGGGAUUUUGUAUGUACCUUAUGAAUAAGGAUCGGCUAACUCCGUGCCAGCAGCCGCGGUAAUACGGAGGAUCCGAGCGUUAUCCGGAUUUAUUGGGUUUAAAGGGAGCGUAGGUGGAUUGUUAAGUCAGUUGUGAAAGUUUGCGGCUCAACCGUAAAAUUGCAGUUGAAACUGGCAGUCUUGAGUACAGUAGAGGUGGGCGGAAUUCGUGGUGUAGCGGUGAAAUGCUUAGAUAUCACGAAGAACUCCGAUUGCGAAGGCAGUUCACUGGACUGCAACUGACACUGAGGCUCGAAAGUGUGGGUAUCAAACAGGAUUAGAUACCCGGGUAGUC